UCUUGCAUAAUCCAAUAAGCGGAGGAAAAGAAAAUAACAAUGAUUCCCCUAGUAACUGCGAGUGAAGAGGGACAAGCUCAAAUUUUAAAUCCAUCGGGUUUUACCUGAUCGAGUUGUAAUUUGAAGAAGCGUUUUCUGCGUAUUUGAUCAGCCUAAGUCCUAUUGAAUGAGGCAUCAUGGAGGGUGAUAAUCCCGUCCGGUUGAUCAUAUGCGUUUUACGAUACGCUUUCUAAGAGUCAAGUUGUUUGGGAUUGCAGCUUAAAAUGGGAGGUAAAUUUCUCCUAAGGCUAAAUAACGGCGAGAGACCGAUAGCGAACAAGUACCGUGAGGGAAAGAUGAAAAGAACUUUGAAAAGAGAGUUAAACAGUACGUGAAAUUGUUGAAAGGGAAACGAUUGAAGCCAGUCGUACCUUCGGGUAAUCAGCCUUUCGGGUGCGAUUAUGUGGAGUGUGAGGAGCUUAAACACCUUCAUGUUUUGCAUAUUCGUACUCUUGGGUGUACUUGCCCGUGUGGUUGGUUAACAUCAAUUUUGGUGGUCAUAAAAUGACUGGGGGAAUGUAGCUUCGAUCUUGUAUUGAAGUGUUAUAGCCUUCGGUAGAUGUGAUGAUCGAGAUUGAGGAUUGCAACGGAUACCCUUCGGGGCUACCUGUCUGGUCUCUGAUCGUUGCUCUGGUGCCGAAAGCUUGCUUACGGUUAUCAAAGUCGAUGGUCAAUAGGUAGAACGGGUAAUCGUACGUG
This 738-nucleotide ribosomal RNA is filed under the name Rhizophagus irregularis. RNAcentral describes it as "partial large subunit ribosomal RNA". It matches the Rfam family "Eukaryotic large subunit ribosomal RNA", at positions 32 to 636 of the family's 3401-position model. The record is from RNAcentral. Lineage: Eukaryota; Fungi; Glomeromycota; Glomeromycetes; Glomerales; Glomeraceae.